Long non-coding RNA from Alexandromys fortis (reed vole), 1028 nucleotides. RefSeq lists it as uncharacterized. The record is from RefSeq and is a predicted model, not a curated record. The transcript is spliced from 3 exons. NCBI's taxonomy places the organism in Eukaryota, Metazoa, Chordata, Mammalia, Rodentia, Cricetidae.
UGGGCCCUCGACUAUUAACUCUCUCUGUGAGAGAAAAUAUUCAAGCGAAAAAAAAUCUUUUGUUUGAAAUAUGGGUUUAUAUAAAUCAAUAGGACAACAUUUUUUUUUAAAAAAAAUAAAGUAAUUUAUUUUCUUUAUCAGUCUAAGAAGUUCACAUUCAUCAGCAGUUCCGAAGCAGACUCGGGUGUCUUCAGGAGUCACGGCACAGUUGCUAAUGAACCGUGUAGGCCAAACAUAUGAGUUCUUUUGAUAACACGUAUGAAGACAUCUAUCUAAAACUCACCUCUGUGGCUUCAUUCUCAGCGUAGAACACAUGUAAGAAACUAUAACUGUUGGCCUUCCUCCUCCUUGAGGAUUCACUUCCAGCAAUGGCUUUCAGGUCCAGGAUAAUGUCAUUUCAUCAUCUCACUGGCAGCCAUUCCUACAAAGGAGGGAAGCCUGCUUUCUGGAGAUACGUAGGAAGAUGCGGAAGCAGAAAUGCUGACACGUGCUGGCCACGGGGAGAUUGCAACAUCAGCUCCGAGAACUUGCUAAGGCAGCUGCUGGAUUUCAAGCACUCAAAGGAACAUCAACAACACAUACAGUUUGCGUGAAACCAUCCACACACCUCAUGGUUUAUUUCAUAAUCCAGAUGUGUUGAGUCAACUCCUCCCAUGCAUGUGUGAACACUGUCAGGAAAAAAAAGUGGGGGCAGGAAAAGGGGUGGAAAUAAAACAGAGCGGGAAUGAGGAGGAAAAAAAACCAUUUUUUUAUGACCAAGUCUCUACUUCUGCAUUUCACAAUUCAGUAGACGCUAGGAACGCAGUAUGAUUUGUGUCCCAAACAGGAAGAAGGCUGUUGCAAGUGGAAGCAGCCACGUAGAGUGUGCAGGCUUGGCUAUGACUGUGAAGCCACCUGGUGGUGUGUUUCCAUCUUUAUGCUCUUCUUAGUAUCUUAGCUUCAUCGGUAUAUGAGGUACCCUGGCCUUGAAUGCAACAAGGAUGACGUAUUUACUCUGCUUUAAAAGAAUCAGAUGUAUUUAUUUCUUU